UAAAAACAAAUGUCAGCAUCAGUUGGCGUUGCCAUGGGGAGUUUCCUUUCUUGGUUGUGAAAACACCCGACAAUCACAUCAUCGUCGUUGUGUCCAUUUCUCCCCGCGGGGCUGUGGCCGGGGUUUGGCCCGACGUCCCUGCCUCUCGUCAAACACUCCAGACACGCUUUGAAUUCAAUUCUCUGCGUCUGUGAUCAAGGCUAAAGGAGGAACAUGAAAAGAACCAACUUCGGGAGUGACCGCAUUGGAGCCAACGAGGAAUGGAAUCCGGCCAUGAUGUCAGACAAUUCAUUCAUCCCAAAUGGAACAUUAUUCCCUACGUUGCACUCCUGUUUAGCAGAGGCCCUAUGGCAAAAGCAACGCAAUAAAAUAGGGCAUAGGCUGCCAUUCGGGACACACACAGACAACAUUCUCUGUAACCUGCAAGCAGUCAUUUCCAUCUACUGUUCUGUACUGCUUAAUGCUGUCAGACAACUCUACAGUACCUUGACAAGAGGUCUCAAUCUUUAUGGAAUAGAACGUAGUUCACAUGAUCUGGAACUGCAGAGUUACUGGUUCAAGUUCUCUUCCACUUCUUGUAUGAUGGAAGGAUGGUUGGGUGGAUGGAUGGAUGAAGGAAGGAUGGUUGGGUGGAUGGAUGGAUAAAGGAAGGAUGGUUGGGUGGAUGGAUGGAUGAAGGAUGGAUGGUUGGGUGGAUGGAUGGAUAAAGGAAGGAUGGUUGGGUGGAUGGAUGGAUGAAGGAAGGAUGGUUGGGUGGAUGGAUGGAGGAAGGAUGGAUGGUUGGGUGGAUGGAUGAAGGAAGGAUGGUUGGGUGGAUGGAUGGAUAAAGGAAGGAUGGUUGGGUGGAUGGAUGGAUGAAGGAAGGAUGGUUAGGUGGAUGGAUGGAUGAAGGAAGGAUGGUUGGGUGGGAGGAUGGAUAAAGGAAGGAUAGUUGGG
Long non-coding RNA from Oncorhynchus tshawytscha (Chinook salmon), 936 nucleotides. The record is from Ensembl. Lineage: Eukaryota; Metazoa; Chordata; Actinopteri; Salmoniformes; Salmonidae.